AGACGUGAUAAGCUGCGAAAGCUCGGGGAGGAGCAAAUAUCCAAAGAUCCGGAGAUAUCUGAUGGGGGAANCCCGGCGGAGCAAACCUCNGUCAUCUUACGCCCAUNACAUACGUUNAGAAGGGAACCCGGUGAACUGAAACAUCUAAGUAGCCGAGGAAGAGAAAGAAACAUCGAUUCUGUGAGUAGCGGCGAGCGAAAGCGGAAGAGCCCAAACCGGGAUGCGUGCAUUCCGGGGUUCGGACUGCGUAAGUGAUGAGUAAGCCUAGUAGAAUGGUUUUGGGAAAGCCAGCCAGAGAGGGUGAAAGCCCCGUACAUGAAAGGCGAGCGAGCACGGCAGGAUCCAGAGUACCACGAGACACGAGAAACCUUGUGGGAAUGAGCGGGGACCACCCCGUAAGGCUAAAUACUCCUUAGUGACCGAUAGCGCAUAGUACUGUGAAGGAAAGGUGAAAAGGACCCCGGGAGGGGAGUGAAAGAGAACCUGAAACCAUAUGUUUACAAGCUGUGGAACAUCUUUAUAUGAUGAACCGCGUACUUUUUGUAGAACGGUCCGGCGAGUUACGCUGGCUGGCGAGGUUAAGGACUGAAGGUCUGGAGCCGAAGGGAAACCAAGUCUGAAUAGGGCGUGAAGUCAGUCAGAGUAGACCCGAAACCGGGUGAUCUAUCCAUGUCCAGGUUGAAGUUGCCGUAAAAGGCAAUGGAGGACCGAACCCACAUCCGUUGAAAAGGGUGGGGAUGAGGUGUGGAUAGGGGAGAAAUUCCAAUCGAACCCGGAGAUAGCUGGUUCUCCUCGAAAUAGCUUUAGGGCUAGCCUCAUACGAGUCUUGCGGAGGUAGAGCACUGAAUUUCCUAGGGGGCGUCAAAGCUUACCGAAGAAUAUCAAACUCCGAAUGCCGCGUAGAUGUUGUAUGGGAGUCAGACUGUACGAGAUAAGUUGGACAGUCAAAAGGGAAAGAGCCCAGACCUGCAGCUAAGGCCCCAAAAUGUGUGUUAAGUGGAAAAGGAUGUGGGAUUUCAAAGACAACUAGGAUGUUGGCUUAGAAGCAGCCAUACAUUCAAAGAGUGCGUAAUAGCUCACUAGUCGAGAGGUCCUGCGCCGAAAAUGUCCGGGGCUGAAACACACUGCCGAAGCUCAGGAAUGUACCUAGUACAUUGGUAGAGGAGCAUUGUAUACGGGACGAAGCAGUACCGAUAAGGAGCUGUGGACUGUAUAGAAGAGAGAAUGCCGGAAUGAGUAGCGAGAGGAAGGUGAGAAUCCUUCCGGCCGAAUAUCUAAGGUUUCCAGAGUAAAGCUGAUCUGCUCUGGGUAAGUCGGGGCCUAAGGCCAGGUCGAAAGACGUAACCGAUGGACAACAGGUUGAAAUUCCUGUACCUUAAGUAAACAGAACUGUGGGGACACGUGUGGAGAGCACAAGCCGGAAAUGGAAAAGCCGGUGCAAGCGAGGUAGGAGAUGAAUAGGCAAAUCCGUUCAUCAAUCCGAAGACGUGAUGCGGACCGAAUUAAGAGUAGGGAAGUGUGUGAGCCAUGCGUCAAGAAAAGCCGCUAUUGUUUUACUUAAGCCCGUACCGUAAACCGACACAGGUGGAUGAGGAGAGAAUCCUAAGGCCGACGGGAGAAGCAUUGUUAAGGAACUCGGCAAAAUGACUCCGUAACUUCGGGAGAAGGAGUGCCAGCGAGAGCUGGCCGCAGAGAAUUGGCCCAAGCAACUGUUUAGCAAAAACACAGGUCUAUGCAAAACCGUAAGGUGAAGUAUAUGGGCUGACGCCUGCCCGGUGCUGGAAGGUUAAGAGGAGAGGUUAGCGGUAACGCGAAGCUUUGAAUUUAAGCCCCAGUAAACGGCGGCCGUAACUAUAACGGUCCUAAGGUAGCGAAAUUCCUUGUCGGGUAAGUUCCGACCCGCACGAAAGGCGUAAUGAUUUGGGCACUGUCUCAACAAUGCACCCGGUGAAAUUGAAAUACCAGUGAAGAUGCUGGUUACCUGCGCCAGGACGGAAAGACCCCAUGGAGCUUUACUCCAGCUUGAUACUGGGAUUCGGUAUUGCAUGUACAGGAUAGGUGGGAGGCUAGGAAGUGAUGACGCCAGUUGUCACGGAGCCGCUGUUGGGAUACCACCCUUGCAGUAUUGGAUUUCUAACCAGCGACCAUGAACUGGUCGGGGGACAAUGUCAGGUGGGGAGUUUGACUGGGGCGGUCGCCUCCGAAAGGGUAUCGGAGGCGCUCAAAGGUUCCCUCAGAAUGGACGGAAACCAUUCGAAGAGUGCAAAGGCAGAAGGGAGCUUGACUGCGACACCGACGGG
This 2300-nucleotide ribosomal RNA is filed under the name human gut metagenome. Its description in RNAcentral is "bacterial LSU rRNA". It matches the Rfam family "Bacterial large subunit ribosomal RNA", at positions 54 to 2388 of the family's 2925-position model. The record is from RNAcentral.